The sequence is a regulatory RNA element, 78 nucleotides long. It matches the Rfam family "Coronavirus frameshifting stimulation element". Rfam says of the family: In the classical situation a sequence 32nt downstream of the stem is complementary to part of the loop. The record is from Rfam.
GGGUACGGGGUAGCAGUGAGGCUCGGCUGAUACCCCUGUCUGACGGAAAUCAACCUCAUAUUGUAAAACGAGCCUUUG